GGGAGAGUUCCCGAGUGGCCAAAGGGGGCAGACUGUAAAUCUGUUGCGCUUCGCUUCAAUGGUUCGAAUCCAUUCUCUCCCACCA
RNAcentral lists this transfer RNA (85 nucleotides) under Candidatus Equicaccousia limihippi. Its description in RNAcentral is "tRNA-Tyr". It matches the Rfam family "tRNA". Rfam says of the family: Transfer RNA (tRNA) molecules are approximately 80 nucleotides in length. Their secondary structure includes four short double-helical elements and three loops (D, anti-codon, and T loops). The record is from RNAcentral. Lineage: Bacteria; Bacillati; Bacillota; Clostridia; Eubacteriales; Acutalibacteraceae. RNAcentral also lists the same sequence under 1 other name.